RNAcentral lists this ribosomal RNA (492 nucleotides) under uncultured bacterium. RNAcentral's name for it is "partial 16S ribosomal RNA". It matches the Rfam family "Bacterial small subunit ribosomal RNA", at positions 29 to 507 of the family's 1533-position model. The record is from RNAcentral.
AGUGAACGCUGGCGGUAGGCCUAACACAUGCAAGUCGAACGGCAGCACAGUAAGAGCUUGCUCUUACGGGUGGCGAGUGGCGGACGGGUGAGGAAUACAUCGGAAUCUACUUUUUCGUGGGGGAUAACGUAGGGAAACUUACGCUAAUACCGCAUACGACCUACGGGUGAAAGCAGGGGAUCUUCGGACCUUGCGCGAUUGAAUGAGCCGAUGUCGGAUUAGCUAGUUGGCGGGGUAAAGGCCCACCAAGGCGACGAUCCGUAGCUGGUCUGAGAGGAUGAACAGCCACACUGGAACUGAGACACGGUCCAGACUCCUACGGGAGGCAGCAGUGGGGAAUAUUGGACAAUGGGCGCAAGACUGAUCCAGCCAUACCGCGUGGGUGAAGAAGGCCUUCGGGUUGUAAAGCCCUUUUGUUGGGAAAGAAAAGCAGCAGGUUAAUACCCCGCUGUUCUGACGGUACCCAAAGAAUAAGCACCGGCUAACUUCGUG